This 468-nucleotide ribosomal RNA is filed under the name uncultured bacterium. RNAcentral's name for it is "partial 16S ribosomal RNA". It matches the Rfam family "Bacterial small subunit ribosomal RNA", at positions 28 to 507 of the family's 1533-position model. The record is from RNAcentral.
GACGAACGCUGGCGGCGUGCUUAACACAUGCAAGUCGAACGGAAAGGCCCUGCUUUUGUGGGGUGCUCGAGUGGCGAACGGGUGAGUAACACGUGAGUAACCUGCCCUUGACUUUGGGAUAACUUCAGGAAACUGGGGCUAAUACCGGAUAGGAGCUCCUGCUGCAUGGUGGGGGUUGGAAAGUUUCGGCGGUUGGGGAUGGACUCGCGGCUUAUCAGCUUGUUGGUGGGGUAGUGGCUUACCAAGGCUUUGACGGGUAGCCGGCCUGAGAGGGUGACCGGCCACCUUGGGACUGAGAUACGGCCCAGACUCCUACGGGAGGCAGCAGUGGGGAAUAUUGCACAAUGGGCCGAAGCCUGAUGCAGCAACGCCGCGUUCGGGAAGACGGCCUUCGGGGUGUAAACCGCUUUCGCCUGUGACGAAGCGUGAGUGACGGUAAUGGGUAAAGAAGCACCGGCUAACUACGUG